Molecule: ribosomal RNA, 497 nt
Filed under: uncultured bacterium
Lineage: Bacteria
Description: partial 16S ribosomal RNA
Rfam family: Bacterial small subunit ribosomal RNA
Source: RNAcentral
GAUGAACGCUGGCGGCGUGCCUAAUACAUGCAAGUCGAGCGAACGGACGAGAAGCUUGCUUCUCUGAUGUUAGCGGCGGACGGGUGAGUAACACGUGGAUAACCUACCUAUAAGACUGGGAUAACUUCGGGAAACCGGAGCUAAUACCGGAUAAUAUUUUGAACCGCAUGGUUCAAAAGUGAAAGACGGUCUUGCUGUCACUUAUAGAUGGAUCCGCGCUGCAUUAGCUAGUUGGUAAGGUAACGGCUUACCAAGGCAACGAUGCAUAGCCGACCUGAGAGAGUGAUCGGCCACACUGGAACUGAGACACGGUCCAGACUCCUACGGGAGGCAGCAGUAGGGAAUCUUCCGCAAUGGGCGAAAGCCUGACGGAGCAACGCCACGUGAGUGAUGAAGGUCUUCGGAUCGUAAAACUCUGUUAUUAGGGAAGAACAUAUGUGUAAGUAACUAUGCACAUCUUGACGGUACCUAAUCAGAAAGCCACGGCUAACUACGUG